RNAcentral lists this long non-coding RNA (337 nucleotides) under Sus scrofa (pig). RNAcentral's name for it is "lncRNA (ENSSSCG00070019892.1)". The record is from RNAcentral. Lineage: Eukaryota; Metazoa; Chordata; Mammalia; Artiodactyla; Suidae.
CCCGGAGUCUCCCUUUCAUCAGAUGCCAGACCCUCUGGGACCCUGGACAAGCACGUGAGCCGGAAGGGCCCUGCACGGCCCCCACGCUCCGCGUGUUCUGACACUUCCGUGACAGCCUCCUGAUGCCCCAGCUCUGUGUUUGCCUCUCCAGUGACUACAGUGACUCAAUACCAUCAGCUGCCUCCUUCUGCAACUGAGCUUGCAGUAUCAUUGAAGCUGAUUACAAGAGACCCCAAGACGCCACCUAGCACAGUUCCGAGGUGAAUAUGAUCAGCCUUUGAAGAAGCUAAAUGACUGACAGCCUGUCAAUAAAACCUGUGCCCUUUUGGAGCGCUCA